Arabidopsis thaliana (thale cress) is the source of this 438-nucleotide long non-coding RNA. RefSeq annotates it as other RNA. NCBI's taxonomy places the organism in Eukaryota, Viridiplantae, Streptophyta, Magnoliopsida, Brassicales, Brassicaceae. The record is from RefSeq. The transcript is spliced from 3 exons.
AUGAGCAACAAGGAAAGUAAUGUCACCUACAGCAGCACACUCCGAGCCAGCAUAUGGACAACUAUAAGGGAAAAUCCCAAGGCAUCCAAGAUUGUAAUACUUGCACGGGCAUUCAAGGAGCUCGUAAACGCUUGUAGCCGGAGAGAUUACCACGGUGGCUCCUCCCUGAGACUUGGUUGAUGAGAAUUGGUGUUUUUGAUGGAUCUCAUCGUCAUCGAUCACGGAAUCGAUACUAUCUGUUUCCAUUAACACCAAAAUUUUCGAAAAUCAAAAAGUCCUAAUUUUAAAAAUUGGGACUUUUCUCUGUCGGGAAAAUAAAAAUUCUUUCUUUUCACGCAGAUCAAAAGAGCAAGAACGAGAGAGAAAAGGGAAGCUGGAAUUUCCCUCCUUUCUCUCUGUCUCUCUCUCACUGGGUUUCGCCAAAAUUGUGCUUUUCUU